This 440-nucleotide non-coding RNA is filed under the name Pongo abelii (Sumatran orangutan). The record is from RNAcentral. Lineage: Eukaryota; Metazoa; Chordata; Mammalia; Primates; Hominidae.
CAGGAUUUGAAUUAUCACAAGAGAUUCACCGGAGGAUUUUAUACACUUGGGCUGUGGCAGCAGACUAAUUACACCACAGCACUAGAGUCUUCACCAGCUCCGGAAAAGAAUAUUUUUAAUCGCUUCAGUCGCUUAGGAUAACAGGGUUAUCUUUGGAAAUUCCUGCCCUCUCGUGUCCAGUAUAGAGAACUGCUUUUGUGUUCUCUAAAGCUGUGAAUGUUAGCGGACAACCAGGAGCAUUUUAGGGCCUCAGCAGAAAGGAGACUGAACCAGUUCCACGAAAACAUUCUCCUAUCUAAUAAAUCAAAAAAUCAUGGCUGGCCUCCAUCAGUUCAGGAGUCUCCACACAAAUGUUUUGACAGUGGAAAAAGAAACAGUCAAGGACAGUUUUAUCAGUGACACCUACCUUCCAAUAGCAAAAACCAUCAACCCCACGGUAA